GAUGUGUCCGGGAAGAGGAGCUUCAGAGAAGACACCCUCGUUUUUGUUUCUGCUCCUAGGGAAAUGUUCAAACUACAGAAAAGUGCAGAGAAUCGUACGACGACCCCACCACCUGGUACCAGCCUCAUCAAUCAGCAACACGGAGUCCCUUCAGUGUGAGGGGGUUUAAGAAUCCCUAAUUUCAGCAGGACAUGUGGCAGCCCAGAAUGAAGAUUACACUUCCCUGCUUUCUUCCCAAAUCCUAGCCGUGCUGGACCAUGUGAUGAGUUAAAGAUGGCUACUGAUUCUUUGGUCCUUCUUCCUUCAAGAGGAAGAGUUUGUUUGGACUUCCCCUCCUCUUAAAUCUGGGCUGGCCUGUGACUUAUUGGACCAACAGAAUACAGUGGAAAUGAUGCUCUGCCAAUUCCGGACUUUGCCCUUAAGGAAACUGGCAGAUUCUGCCAUGGUCUCUUGGAUCCAUGGCUGCCAAGGAAAAGGUCAAACCACUCUGCUGGAGAGACCCCCCUGGAGAAGCCCUAAGACCUCACGGAAAGGAAUUAGGGACCCAGCUGAGCUCAGCACUGCGGUCUUCCCAAACCAUCUUGGUCCUCCAGAUGAAACCAAUCAUCAGCUGAACGCGGCCAAGUGACUAGUCAACGCCCAUGGAUCAGAAGGACCGCCCAGCUGAGCCCUGGCUGAAUUUCAGACCCGCAAAACUGUAGAAAAUAAUAAACAUGAUUAUUGUUUGGGGAGUGUCUGUUGGGUACCAAUACAUAACCAGAACAGACCAUGAGAUAGAAGGUAUUUGUUGAGGAUGCUGUAACAAUUACACCAUCUGGAGGUCUGGCCGCCUCCGGAUAUUUUGUCCUACACGAAAAGUAGACUCUGUUUGUUUAAGCUUUGAUGAUACCUUGGGUCGUGGCUCAUGGCCUCAGUUUCCCCACAAUUAUUCAUUGGAGCAUUAACGCCUGCCCUGUUGCCUCCUUUUGCAUG
Long non-coding RNA from Prionailurus viverrinus (fishing cat), 972 nucleotides. RefSeq lists it as uncharacterized. Lineage: Eukaryota; Metazoa; Chordata; Mammalia; Carnivora; Felidae. The transcript has 3 exons. The record is from RefSeq and is a predicted model, not a curated record.